This 499-nucleotide ribosomal RNA is filed under the name uncultured bacterium. RNAcentral's name for it is "partial 16S ribosomal RNA". It matches the Rfam family "Bacterial small subunit ribosomal RNA", at positions 28 to 507 of the family's 1533-position model. The record is from RNAcentral.
GACGAACGCUGGCGGCGUGCCUAAUACAUGCAAGUCGAGCGGACCGAACAGGAGCUUGCUCUUGUUCGGUUAGCGGCGGACGGGUGAGUAACACGUGGGUAACCUGCCCGUAAGACCGGGAUAACUCCGGGAAACCGGAGCUAAUACCGGAUAACACCGAAGACCGCAUGGUCUUUGGUUGAAAGGCGGCUUCGGCUGCCACUUACGGAUGGGCCCGCGGCGCAUUAGCUAGUUGGUGAGGUAACGGCUCACCAAGGCGACGAUGCGUAGCCGGCCUGAGAGGGUGACCGGCCACACUGGGACUGAGACACGGCCCAGACUCCUACGGGAGGCAGCAGUAGGGAAUCUUCCGCAAUGGACGAAAGUCUGACGGAGCGACGCCGCGUGAGCGAAGAAGGCCUUCGGAUCGUAAAGCUCUGUUGUUAGGGAAGAAGAAGCGUCGUUCGAACAGGGCGGCGCGGUGACGGUACCUAACGAGAAAGCCCCGGCUAACUACGUG